This 447-nucleotide ribosomal RNA is filed under the name uncultured bacterium. RNAcentral's name for it is "bacterial SSU rRNA". It matches the Rfam family "Bacterial small subunit ribosomal RNA", at positions 355 to 825 of the family's 1533-position model. The record is from RNAcentral.
UGGGGAAUCUUGGACAAUGGGCGCAAGCCUGAUCCAGCCAUGCCGCGUGGAUGAUGAAGGCCUUAGGGUUGUAAAAUCCUUUCGUGGGGGACGAUAAUGACGGUACCCCAAGAAGAAGCUCCGGCUAACUUCGUGCCAGCAGCCGCGGUAAUACGAAGGGGGCUAGCGUUGUUCGGAUUUACUGGGCGUAAAGCGCGUGUAGGCGGGUCGUUAAGUUGGGGGUGAAAUCCCGAGGCUCAACCUCGGAACUGCCUUCAAAACUGGCGACCUGGACUCAAGCAGAGGCAAGUGGAAUUGCGAGUGUAGAGGUGAAAUUCGUAGAUAUUCGCAGGAACACCAGUGGCGAAGGCGACUUGCUGGGCUUGUAGUGACGCUGAGACGCGAAAGCGUGGGGAGCAAACAGGAUUAGAUACCCUAGUAGUCCCUGAGCGGGCUGGCAAGGCGCAU